This 373-nucleotide ribosomal RNA is filed under the name uncultured organism. RNAcentral's name for it is "partial 16S ribosomal RNA". It matches the Rfam family "Bacterial small subunit ribosomal RNA", at positions 527 to 896 of the family's 1533-position model. The record is from RNAcentral.
GAACCGCACAAACGUUAUUCGGGAAUCACUGGGGCUUAAAGGGUGCGUAGGCGGCGCUGUAAGUUGGAUGUGAAAUCCCACAGCUCAACUGUGGAACUGCGUUCAAUACUGCAGUGCUUGAGGGAGAUAGAGGAGAGCGGAACUACGGGUGGAGCGGUGAAAUGCGUUGAUAUCCGUAGGAACACCGGUGGCGAAAGCGGCUCUCUGGGUCUCUUCUGACGCUGAGGCACGAAAGCUAGGGUAGCGAACGGGAUUAGAUACCCCGGUAGUCCUAGCUGUAAACGAUGAGCACUGGGUUGGGGAGGUUCCCAUGCCUUCCUGGCCGAACUGAAAAAGUUAAGUGCUCCGCCUGGGGAGUAUGGUCGCAAGGCUG